RNAcentral lists this ribosomal RNA (1130 nucleotides) under Thaparocleidus sp. AC-2017. Its description in RNAcentral is "bacterial SSU rRNA". It matches the Rfam family "Eukaryotic small subunit ribosomal RNA", at positions 113 to 1116 of the family's 1831-position model. Lineage: Eukaryota; Metazoa; Platyhelminthes; Monogenea; Dactylogyridea; Ancylodiscoididae. The record is from RNAcentral.
UGAUCGAAUGGCUCUACUAUCAGCUAGUUACUACUACACGGAUACCUGUAGUAAUUCUAGAGCUAAUACGUGCCUCGAUGCCCUGAUCCGCGAGGUGAGGGGUGCACUAUAGAUACAAAUCAAACGGUCACGCCGUAGUUUGUGUGACUCUGAUAACUUUGUAUGAUCGCAGCUGCCUUGUGUCGCGACGGAUCCAUCAAAUAUUCUGCCCUAUCAACUUUCGAUGGUAGGAGACAUGCUACCAUGGUUAUGACGGGUAACGGGGAAUCAGGGUUCGAUUCCGGAGAGGGAGCUGAGAAACGGCUACCACAUCCAAGGAAGGCAGCAGGCGCGUAAAUUACCCACUCUCUGAACGAGGAGGUAGUGAAGAUAAAUAUCGAUACAGAUCUCAAAUGAGGCUCUGUAAUCGAAAUGAGUGCAAUAUAAAUCCUACAACGAGGAUCUAUUGGAGGGCAAGUCUGGUGCCAGCAGCCGCGGUAACUCCAGCUCCAAUAGCGUAUAUUAAAGUUGCUGCAGUUAAAAAGCUCGUAGUUGGAUCUGGGCCAUGUAGUGAUUGUCGGUCUCUCUCUCGCAUGCUUAGGUAUGCUUGGGUGGGCCGGUAUCUUCGCUCAUGGCUUCGAAGCUGUGUCCUUUUGCUCUCGGGCAUUUGGAUGGUGUUGGGUGUUAGUCUUUGCCCCUUUAUGGGGGGCGGAGGCGGCUCAAUAUCAUGUUCUGUUGAUGCCCUUAACCGGGUGUCCGGAACUCUCAGCACGUUUUACUUUGAACAAUUUGAGUGCUCAAAGCAGGCCGUCUGUUGCCUGAAAAUUCUUGCAUGGAAUAAUAGAAUAGGACUUUGGUCCUAUUUUGUUGGUUUGAUAGAACUGAAGUAAUGAUAAACAGAGACAGACGGGGGCAUUUGUAUGGCGGCGCUAGAGGUGAAAUUCGUGGACCGUCGCCAGACAACCUAAAGCGAAAGCAUCUGCCAAGUAUGUUUUCAUUUACCAGGAGCGAAAGUCAGAGGUUCGAAGACGAUCAGAUACCGUCCUAGUUCUGACCAUAAACGAUGCCAACUGACGAUCCGUGGUAGUUCUUUUUAUGAGCCCACGGGCAGUCUCCGGGAAACCUGUAAGUCUAUGGUCCGGGAAUGUAGC